This 875-nucleotide ribosomal RNA is filed under the name uncultured euryarchaeote. Its description in RNAcentral is "bacterial SSU rRNA". It matches the Rfam family "Archaeal small subunit ribosomal RNA", at positions 460 to 1337 of the family's 1478-position model. The record is from RNAcentral. Lineage: Archaea; Methanobacteriati; Methanobacteriota.
AGCCGCCGCGGUAAUACCCGCAGCUCGAGUGGUGAUCGGUUUUAUUGGGCCUAAAGCGUCCGUAGCCUGCUCAGUAAAUCCUUGGGUAAAUCGGGCAGCUUAACUGUCCGACCUCCGGGGAGACUGCUGAGCUUGGGACUGGGAGAGGUAGGAGGUACUCCGGGGGUAGAGGUGAAAUUCUGUAAUCCUUGGGGGACCACCAGUGGCGAAGGCGUCCUACUUGAACGGGUCCGACGGUGAGGGACGAAGCCCUGGGGCACAAACCGGAUUAGAUACCCGGGUAGUCCAGGGUGUAAACGCUGCGGGCUUGGUGUUGGGGGUCCUACGUGGGCGUCCAGUGCCGGAGAGAAGUUGUUAAGCCCGCCGCCUGGGGAGUACGGUCGCAAGACUGAAACUUAAAGGAAUUGGCGGGGGAGCACUGCAACGAGUGGAGCGUGCGGUUUAAUUGGAUUCAACGCCGGAAAACUCACCGGGGGCGACUGUUAGAUGAGGGUCAGGCUGAUGACCUUACCCGAUUUUCAGAGAGGUGGUGCAUGGCCGCCGUCAGUUCGUACCGCAAGGCGUUCUGUUAAGUCAGAUAACGAACGAGAUCCCCGCCCUUAAUUGCCAUCCUAUUCUCCGGAAUAGAGGAACAUUAAGGGGACCGCUGGCGCUAAGUCAGAGGAAGGUGGGGGCAACGGUAGGUCCGUAUGCCCCGAAUCCCCCGGGCAACACGCGCGCUACAAAGGUCAGGACAAUGGGUUCCUACAUCGAAAGAUGACGGCAAUCCCGAAACCUGAUCGUAGUUCGGAUUGAGGGCUGUAACCCGCCCUCAUGAAGUUGGAAUUCGUAGUAAUCGCGGGUCAACAUCCCGCGGUGAAUAUGCCCCUGCUCCU